RNAcentral lists this ribosomal RNA (118 nucleotides) under Pteropus alecto (black flying fox). Lineage: Eukaryota; Metazoa; Chordata; Mammalia; Chiroptera; Pteropodidae. The record is from RNAcentral.
GUGUGCGGCCAAGCCACCCUGAACGUGCCCAGUCUCGUCUGAUCUCGGAACCUAAGCAGGGUCGGGCCUGGUUAGUACUUGGAUGGGAGACACCUCUUAGCAGGACAAACUGAACAGA